Molecule: transfer RNA, 71 nt
Filed under: Urocitellus parryii (Arctic ground squirrel)
Lineage: Eukaryota; Metazoa; Chordata; Mammalia; Rodentia; Sciuridae
Also listed under: 2 other names
Description: Spermophilus parryii (Arctic ground squirrel) tRNA
Rfam family: tRNA
About the family: Transfer RNA (tRNA) molecules are approximately 80 nucleotides in length. Their secondary structure includes four short double-helical elements and three loops (D, anti-codon, and T loops).
Source: Rfam by way of RNAcentral
AGGGGUGUAGCUCAGUGGCAGAGCAUUUGCCUAACAUGCAUGAGGACCUAGUUCUAUUUCCAGCACCACCA